Molecule: ribosomal RNA, 648 nt
Filed under: Triticum aestivum (bread wheat)
Lineage: Eukaryota; Viridiplantae; Streptophyta; Magnoliopsida; Poales; Poaceae
Description: partial small subunit ribosomal RNA
Source: RNAcentral
AUGGCCAGCGUGAUGGAAGAAGUGUCGUCGUUCUGGUGCCAUACGUGCAGCCGCCUCCACCAAACCAGCGCCGGCGAAGCCGUCGCGGUGUGCCCCGUCUGCGCAGCCGCCCCCAGCGCCUCGCUCGAGAGCAUCGUCGACGUCGUUGACGCCAGGACGUUCCUCGACGGCUGCCACCCGGCGGGCCGGACUGCCAGCGCCCUCGCCGAGACGCUGCCCCUCGUCACGGUCCGUGACGCGGGGCUCACCUGCCCGAUCUGCCUGGACGUGCUGGAGCCCGGCGCCAGCGCGGCCGAGACGCCGUGCCAGCACGUGUACCACCCGGCCUGCCUCGCGCCGUGGCUCGAGGCCAGAGGCACCUGCCCGGUCUGCCGUGCCAAGCCCGUGCCCGAGGAAGAUGCGGAUGGCUCUCCGGAUGGCCUUGUCCUUUGGGAUCAGCGGAACGGCCGCUCUGCCCUCGUCCGGCGAACUGCAGGGCGGCUCCGCAUGGUCGGGGUCCUCGACGAGGAUGGCAUGCUGAUGAGGCAUUGCAGCCCGCUGCCCUACCGCGCGCGGAGCCUCGGCGUACUACACGGCCUGCACUGGAUCAGGCAUUGUGCCGCCAGGUUUAGCAGCCGCGCGCGCGAGCCCCGACGGGAGAUCGUCUAA